UUCGCAAUGCCCGAAAGGGUGACGAAGCGACGCCGCGUGUGGGAAGAAGGCCUUCGGGUUGUAAACCACUGUCGGGAGUUAAGAAAUGCAAGGAUAUUAAUAGUGUCUUUGCUUGACUAAGGCUCCGGAGGAAGCCACGGCUAACUCUGUGCCAGCAGCCGCGGUAAUACAGAGGCGGCAAGCGUUGUUCGGAAUUAUUGGGCGUAAAGAGCACGUAGGCGGCUAUGUAAGUCGGUUGUGAAAGCCUUCCGCUCAACGGGAGAACAGCAUCCGAUACUACAUGGCUUGAGCGCGGGAGGGGAGAGUGGAACUUCUGGUGGAGCGGUGAAAUGCGUAGAUAUCAGAAGGAACGCCGGCGGCGAAAGCGGCUCUCUGGCCCAUAACUGACGCUGAGUGUGCGAAAGCUAGGGGAGCAAACGGGAUUAGAUACCCCGGUAGUCCUAGCCGUAAACGAUGGGCACUAAGUAGAGGGGUUUU
Molecule: ribosomal RNA, 477 nt
Filed under: uncultured bacterium
Lineage: Bacteria
Description: bacterial SSU rRNA
Rfam family: Bacterial small subunit ribosomal RNA
Source: RNAcentral